This 497-nucleotide ribosomal RNA is filed under the name uncultured bacterium. Its description in RNAcentral is "partial 16S ribosomal RNA". It matches the Rfam family "Bacterial small subunit ribosomal RNA", at positions 28 to 507 of the family's 1533-position model. The record is from RNAcentral.
GAUGAACGCUGGCGGCGUGCCUAAUACAUGCAAGUCGAGCGAACGGACGAGAAGCUUGCUUUUCUGAUGUUAGCGGCGGACGGGCGAGUAACACGUGGAUAACCUACCUAUAAGACUGGGAUAACUUCGGGAAACCGGAGCUAAUACCGGAUAAUAUUUUGAACCGCAUUGUUCAAAAGUGAAAGACGGUCUUGCUGUCACGUCUAGAUGGAUCCGCGCUGCAUUAGCUAGUUGGUAAGGUAACGGCUUACCAAGGCAACGAUGCAUAGCCGACGUGAGGGGGUGGUCGGCCACCCUGGAGCUGGGCCGCGGUCCUGGCUCCUGCGGGAGGCCGCAGACGGGAAUCUUCCGCAAUGGGCGAAAGCAUGACGGAGCAACGCCGCGUGAGUGAUGAAGGUCUUCGGAUCGUAAAACUCUGUUAUUAGGGAAGAACAUAUGUGUCCGUAACUGUGCACAUCUUGACGGUACCUAAUAAGAAAGCCACGGCUAACUACGUG